This 253-nucleotide ribosomal RNA is filed under the name uncultured bacterium. RNAcentral describes it as "partial 16S ribosomal RNA". It matches the Rfam family "Bacterial small subunit ribosomal RNA", at positions 524 to 776 of the family's 1533-position model. The record is from RNAcentral.
UACGUAGGUCCCGAGCGUUGUCCGGAUUUAUUGGGCGUAAAGGGAACGCAGGCGGUCUUUUAAGUCUGAUGUGAAAGCCUUCGGCUUAACCGGAGUAGUGCAUUGGAAACUGGGAGACUUGAGUGCAGAGGAGGAGAGUGGAACUCCAUGUGUAGCGGUGAAAUGCGUAGAUAUAUGGAAGAACACCAGUGGCGAAAGCGGCUCCCUGGUCUGUAACUGACGCUGAGGUUCGAAAGCGUGGGUAGCAAACAGG